Myotis lucifugus (little brown bat) is the source of this 76-nucleotide non-coding RNA. Lineage: Eukaryota; Metazoa; Chordata; Mammalia; Chiroptera; Vespertilionidae. The record is from Rfam.
GAGACACCCUUCUGGGGCAAGACUUGCUUCAGUGGGGCUUUAAUGCUCACUGAGUCUGCCUCCUGAGUGUGUCCCU